RNAcentral lists this ribosomal RNA (496 nucleotides) under uncultured bacterium. Its description in RNAcentral is "partial 16S ribosomal RNA". It matches the Rfam family "Bacterial small subunit ribosomal RNA", at positions 29 to 507 of the family's 1533-position model. The record is from RNAcentral.
ACGAACGCUGGCGGCGUGCCUAAUACAUGCAAGUUGAGCGCUGAAGGUUGGUACUUGUACCGACUGGAUGAGCAGCGAACGGGUGAGUAACGCGUGGGGAAUCUGCCUUUGAGCGGGGGACAACAUUUGGAAACGAAUGCUAAUACCGCAUAAAAACUUUAAACACAAGUUUUAAGUUUGAAAGAUGCAAUUGCAUCACUCAAAGAUGAUCCCGCGUUGUAUUAGCUAGUUGGUGAGGUAAAGGCUCACCAAGGCGAUGAUACAUAGCCGACCUGAGAGGGUGAUCGGCCACAUUGGGACUGAGACACGGCCCAAACUCCUACGGGAGGCAGCAGUAGGGAAUCUUCGGCAAUGGACGAAAGUCUGACCGAGCAACGCCGCGGGAGUGAAGAAGGUUGUCGGAUCGUAAAACUCUGUUGGUAGAGAAGAACGUUGGUGAGAGUGGAAAGCUCAUCAAGUGACGGUAACUACCCAGAAAGGGACGGCUAACUACGUG